RNAcentral lists this ribosomal RNA (371 nucleotides) under uncultured organism. RNAcentral's name for it is "bacterial SSU rRNA". It matches the Rfam family "Bacterial small subunit ribosomal RNA", at positions 526 to 896 of the family's 1533-position model. The record is from RNAcentral.
CGUAGGGUGCGAGCGUUAAUCGGAAUUACUGGGCGUAAAGCGUGCGCAGGCGGUUUUGUAAGCCAGAUGUGAAAUCCCCGGGCUUAACCUGGGAAUGGCAUUUGGGACUGCAAGGCUCGAGUGCGGCAGAGGAGACUGGAAUUCCUGGUGUAGCAGUGAAAUGCGUAGAUAUCAGGAGGAAUACCGAUGGCGAAGGCAGGUCUCUGGGCUGACACUGACGCUCAUGCACGAAAGCGUGGGGAGCAAACAGGAUUAGAUACCCUGGUAGUCCACGCCCUAAACGAUGUCGACUGGUUGUUGGGGGUUUGACACUCUCAGUAACGAAGCUAACGCGUGAAGUCGACCGCCUGGGGAGUACGGCCGCAAGGUUA